AACCUUAUCAACUAAGAAAGAAAAAUAAAAAGGUUCUGAUGCUGAGUUUAUAGUCAAAUUGGUCUUGAGUUUCUAAUGCAGCCCUAAGAAGAAGAAAUGUUGAGAAAGUGCAGUAAUGUAAUACACUAAUUAUUUAAGCUGACCCCUCCACUUUCAGCUAUUUGCAAUUUGUAAUGUGUGGGACUGAGAGCGCUUGAAUAACAUACUUCAAAGCUGCUGGGGAAGGAAGAAGCCAGGACAAGAACAAGGACUCUGUGUAGCCCAGGCUGUCCUAGAACUCAUGACCCUACCACCACAGCUUCCCAACUACAGGAGAUACUGGGAUGUUUGACUGCUCAGCAUCAGUUCCAUAUGCCUUAUAGAAUAUAAUCUUCCUGUGGCAAACGGGUGCCAAUCUUUUAUUUGUAGAGGUGAUCUGGAAGAGAAGAAGUGCUUAAUCCUCUAUUUCUUGGGGCACAACCCUAUAACCAGAGUGGCAUUAAGAGAAAAGACCACCUUGGAAGUUCCUGAGGUUGUGAGUAGAUUAUCCUAAGACUUCAAAAAUGGGCUAACAGUUAUUUCUCACAG
Fukomys damarensis (Damara mole-rat) is the source of this 567-nucleotide long non-coding RNA. RefSeq lists it as uncharacterized. The record is from RefSeq and is a predicted model, not a curated record. The transcript is spliced from 4 exons. Lineage: Eukaryota; Metazoa; Chordata; Mammalia; Rodentia; Bathyergidae.